RNAcentral lists this transfer RNA (86 nucleotides) under Didymella sp. IMI 355093. Its description in RNAcentral is "tRNA-Arg". It matches the Rfam family "tRNA". From Rfam's summary of the family: Transfer RNA (tRNA) molecules are approximately 80 nucleotides in length. Their secondary structure includes four short double-helical elements and three loops (D, anti-codon, and T loops). Further hydrogen bonds mediate the characteristic L-shaped molecular structure. tRNAs have two regions of fundamental functional importance: the anti-codon, which is responsible for specific mRNA codon recognition, and the 3' end, to which the tRNAs corresponding amino acid is attached (by aminoacyl-tRNA synthetases). tRNAs cope with the degeneracy of the genetic code in two manners: having more than one tRNA (with a specific anti-codon) for a particular amino acid; and 'wobble' base-pairing, i.e. permitting non-standard base-pairing at the 3rd anti-codon position. The record is from RNAcentral. Lineage: Eukaryota; Fungi; Ascomycota; Dothideomycetes; Pleosporales; Didymellaceae.
GGUGUCCUGGCGCAAUGGUAGCGCGUUGGUUUUCGGUUCUCACUGAAACUCGCCAAAGGUUGUAGGUUCGAGCCCUGCGGACAUCG